UUUCCGGUUGAUCCCGCCGGAGGCCACUGCUAUUGGGGUUCGACUAAGCCAUGCGAGUCUAUGGACUUCGGUCCAUGGCGGACGGCUCAGUAACACGUGGCUAACCUACCCUCAGGUGGGGGAUAACCUCGGGAAACUGAGGGUAAUACCCCAUAGGGGAAGAGGUCUGGAAUGAUCCUUCCUUGAAAGGACAUCCGCCUGAGGAUGGGGCUGCGUCCGAUUAGGUAGUUGGUGGGGUAAUGGCCCACCAAGCCUACGACCGGUACGGGCCUUGAGAGAGGAAGCCCGGAGAUGGGGACUGAGACACGGCCCCAGGCCCUACGGGGCGCAGCAGGCGCGAAACCUCCACAAUGCACGAAAGUGCGAUGGGGGUACCCCAAGUGCCUAUGCACAGCAUAGGCUUUUCCCAAGUGUAAACAGCUUGGGGAAUAAGGGCUGGGCAAGUCCGGUGCCAGCAGCCGCGGUAACACCGGCGGCCCGAGUGGUGGCCACUCUUAUUGGGCCUAAAGCGUCCGUAGCCGGUCCAGUAAGUCCCUGUUUAAAUCCUACGGCUCAACCGUAGGGCUGGCAGGGAUACUGCUGGACUUGGGACCGGGAGAGGACGAGGGUACUCCAGGGGUAGCGGUGAAAUGUGUUGAUCCCUGGAGGACCACCUAUGGCGAAGGCAC
RNAcentral lists this ribosomal RNA (668 nucleotides) under uncultured archaeon. RNAcentral describes it as "bacterial SSU rRNA". It matches the Rfam family "Archaeal small subunit ribosomal RNA", at positions 1 to 675 of the family's 1478-position model. The record is from RNAcentral.